GGGCGGCGGCAGCCUACCAUGCAAGUCGAGCGGUAGCACAGAGAGCUUGCUCUCGGGUGACGAGCGGCGGACGGGUGAGUAAUGUCUGGGAAACUGCCUGAUGGAGGGGGAUAACUACUGGAAACGGUAGCUAAUACCGCAUAACGUCGCAAGACCAAAGUGGGGGACCUUCGGGCCUCAUGCCAUCAGAUGUGCCCAGAUGGGAUUAGCUAGUAGGUGGGGUAACGGCUCACCUAGGCGACGAUCCCUAGCUGGUCUGAGAGGAUGACCAGCCACACUGGAACUGAGACACGGUCCAGACUCCUACGGGAGGCAGCAGUGGGGAAUAUUGCACAAUGGGCGCAAGCCUGAUGCAGCCAUGCCGCGUGUGUGAAGAAGGCCUUCGGGUUGUAAAGCACUUUCAGCGGGGAGGAAGGCGAUAAGGUUAAUAACCUUGGCGAUUGACGUUACCCGCAGAAGAAGCACCGGCUAACUCCGUGCCAGCAGCCGCGGUAAUACGGAGGGUGCAAGCGUUAAUCGGAAUUACUGGGCGUAAAGCGCACGCAGGCGGUCUGUCAAGUCGGAUGUGAAAUCCCCGGGCUCAACCUGGGAACUGCAUUCGAAACUGGCAGGCUAGAGUCUUGUAGAGGGGGGUAGAAUUCCAGGUGUAGCGGUGAAAUGCGUAGAGAUCUGGAGGAAUACCGGUGGGCGAAGGCGGCCCCCUGGACAAAGACUGACGCUCAGGUGCGAAAGCGUGGGGAGCAAACAGGAUUAGAUACCCUGGUAGUCCACGCCGUAAACGAUGUCGAUUUUGGAGGUUGUGCCCUUGAGGCGUGGCUUCCGGAGCUAACGCGUUAAAUCGACCGCCUGGGGAGUACGGCCGCAAGGUUAAACUCAAAUGAAUUGACGGGGCCCGCACAGCGGUGGAGCAUGUGGUUAAUUCGAUGCACGCGAAAACCUUACCUGGCUUGAAUCCCAGACUUUCCAGAGAGGAUGGUGCUUCGGACUGGGAACAGUGCUGCUGCUGCCUCACUCGGGUU
RNAcentral lists this ribosomal RNA (1019 nucleotides) under Klebsiella pneumoniae. Its description in RNAcentral is "bacterial SSU rRNA". It matches the Rfam family "Bacterial small subunit ribosomal RNA", at positions 37 to 1066 of the family's 1533-position model. Lineage: Bacteria; Pseudomonadati; Pseudomonadota; Gammaproteobacteria; Enterobacterales; Enterobacteriaceae. The record is from RNAcentral.